Molecule: long non-coding RNA, 207 nt
Filed under: Homo sapiens (human)
Lineage: Eukaryota; Metazoa; Chordata; Mammalia; Primates; Hominidae
Description: HSALNT0202319
Source: RNAcentral
AUACCAGGCCCUGCAGUGCUUUUCCCUGGUACUUUUCUGCCCCUGGCAUAACUCACAUAAAAUCUGAAAAGUCAAAAAUCUGCAGUUUUUAAAACAAACUGCUAACUGAAUGAGUGGCACCAUUGUUUGAACAUUUGGAGAGAUCAUGAGCAAAUAUUUAGGUUAGGGAGACAUCUGCCAAGGUAAAGGUUUUCCAGUGAAAAGGGC